UCGACCGUACUUUACAGGAUCAUGUAUAUAGUACGUUUCCCGUCUUUGUUUUCCAAACAAGACACAUUUACUAAGUUGGAAGAUGAUAUGUAGCACCGGUUCAUAGCGGGAAGUGGUGAUUACGCUUGUUUUUGAAACGAGUGUUUUUACUUUGAAGAUCGUGCCUGUCAAAUUUUUCCAUUGACAAGGCAAGGACUUGGUUGCUUUCUGACAACU
This 216-nucleotide small nucleolar RNA is filed under the name Neocallimastix californiae. RNAcentral describes it as "Small nucleolar RNA U3". It matches the Rfam family "Small nucleolar RNA U3". Rfam says of the family: Small nucleolar RNAs (snoRNAs) are involved in the processing and modification of rRNA in the nucleolus. Lineage: Eukaryota; Fungi; Neocallimastigomycota; Neocallimastigomycetes; Neocallimastigales; Neocallimastigaceae. The record is from Rfam by way of RNAcentral.